RNAcentral lists this ribosomal RNA (490 nucleotides) under uncultured bacterium. RNAcentral's name for it is "partial 16S ribosomal RNA". It matches the Rfam family "Bacterial small subunit ribosomal RNA", at positions 29 to 507 of the family's 1533-position model. The record is from RNAcentral.
AGUGAACGCUGGCGGCAGGCCUAACACAUGCAAGUCGAACGGCAGCACAAGAGAGCUUGCUCUCUGGGUGGCGAGUGGCGGACGGGUGAGGAAUGCAUCGGAAUCUGCCCAUUUGUGGGGGAUAACCUCGGGAAACCGGGACUAAUACCGCAUACGGCCUACGGGUGAAAGCAGGGGAUCUUCGGACCUUGCGCAGAUGGAUGAGCCGAUGCCGGAUUAGCUAGUUGGAGGGGUAAAGGCCCACCAAGGCGACGAUCCGUAGCUGGUCUGAGAGGAUGAUCAGCCACACUGGGACUGAGACACGGCCCAGACUCCUACGGGAGGCAGCAGUGGGGAAUAUUGGACAAUGGGCGCAAGCCUGAUCCAGCCAUGCCGCGUGUGUGAAGAAGGCCUUCGGGUUGUAAAGCACUUUUGUUGGGAAAGAAAAGCAGCCGGUUAAUACCCGGUUGUCAUGACGGUACCCAAAGAAUAAGCACCGGCUAACUUCGUG